ACUCCUACGGGAGGCAGCAGUGGGGAAUAUUGCACAAUGGGCGCAAGCCUGAUGCAGCCAUGCCGCGUGUAUGAAGAAGGCCUUCGGGUUGUAAAGUACUUUCAGCAGUGAGGAAGGUGGAUAUGUUAAUAGCAUAUUCAUUUGACGUUAGCUGCAGAAGAAGCACCGGCUAACUCCGUGCCAGCAGCCGCGGUAAUACGGAGGGUGCGAGCGUUAAUCGGAAUUACUGGGCGUAAAGCGCAUGCAGGUGGUUUGUUAAGUCAGAUGUGAAAGCCCGGGGCUCAACCUCGGAAUUGCAUUUGAAACUGGCAAACUAGAGUACUGUAGAGGGGGGUAGAAUUUCAGGUGUAGCGGUGAAAUGCGUAGAGAUCUGAAGGAUACCGGUGGCGAAGGCGGCCCCCUGGACAGAUACUGACACUCAGAUGCGAAAGCGUGGGGAGCAAACAGGAUUAGAUACCAUGGUAGGCUCUGC
This 472-nucleotide ribosomal RNA is filed under the name uncultured bacterium. Its description in RNAcentral is "bacterial SSU rRNA". It matches the Rfam family "Bacterial small subunit ribosomal RNA", at positions 335 to 800 of the family's 1533-position model. The record is from RNAcentral.